GCAUAUACAAAGAGAAGCGACCUCGCGAGAGCAAGCGGACCUCAUAAAGUAUGUCGUAGUCCGGAUUGGAGUCUGCAACUCGACUCCAUGAAGUCGGAAUCGCUAGUAAUCGUAGAUCAGAAUGCUACGGUGAAUACGUUCCCGGGCCUUGUACACACCGCCCGUCACACCAUGGGAGUGGGUUGCAAAAGAAGUAGGUAGCUUAACCUUCGGGAGGGCGCUUACCACUUUGUGAUUCAUGACUGGGUGAAGUCGUAACAAGGUAACCGUAGGGGAACCUGCGGUUGG
This 288-nucleotide ribosomal RNA is filed under the name Klebsiella pneumoniae. Its description in RNAcentral is "partial 16S ribosomal RNA". It matches the Rfam family "Bacterial small subunit ribosomal RNA", at positions 1233 to 1521 of the family's 1533-position model. The record is from RNAcentral. Lineage: Bacteria; Pseudomonadati; Pseudomonadota; Gammaproteobacteria; Enterobacterales; Enterobacteriaceae.